UUUGACCUCAAAUCAGGUAGGACUACCCGCUGAACUUAAGCAUA
This 44-nucleotide ribosomal RNA is filed under the name Mycetinis scorodonius. Its description in RNAcentral is "partial 28S ribosomal RNA". Lineage: Eukaryota; Fungi; Basidiomycota; Agaricomycetes; Agaricales; Omphalotaceae. RNAcentral also lists the same sequence under 1 other name. The record is from RNAcentral.